This 608-nucleotide ribosomal RNA is filed under the name uncultured bacterium. RNAcentral describes it as "bacterial SSU rRNA". It matches the Rfam family "Bacterial small subunit ribosomal RNA", at positions 399 to 997 of the family's 1533-position model. The record is from RNAcentral.
GCGUGUGUGAUGAAGGUCCUUGCGUUUGUAGAGCACUUUCUGCUGACGAGGAUGCUACUGUGAUCCGUCCUCUGGGGUCUUGGACGUUGACUCGCACUACCUUACGCCGGCUAACUCUGUGCCAGCAGCCGCGGUAAUACAGAGGGUGCGAGCGUUAUCGGAUUUACUGGGCGUAAAGCGUGCGUAGGCGGCUUUUAAGUCGGAUGUGAAAUCCCCGAGCUUAACUUGGGAAUUGCAUUCGAUACUGGGAAGCUAGAGUAUGGGAGAGGAUGGUAGAAUUCCAAGUGUAGCGGUGAAAUGCGUAGAGAUCUGGAGGAAUACCGAUGGCGAAGGCAGCCAUCUGGCCUAAUACUGACGCUGAGGUACGAAAGCAUGGGGAGCAAACAGGAUUAGAUACCCUGGUAGUCCAUGCCGUAAACGAUGUCUACUAGCCGUUGGGGCCUUUGAGGCUUUAAUGGCGCAGCUAACGCGAUAAGUAGACCGCCUGGGGAGUACGGUCGCAAGAAUAAAACUCAAAUGAAUUGACGGGGGCCCGCACAAGCGGUGGAGCAUGUGGUUUAAUUCGAUGCCACGCGAAAGACCUUACCUGGCUUGACAUACUAGAAAUU